GAUGAACGCUGGCGGCGUGCCUAAUACAUGCAAGUCGAGCGGACAGACGAGGCGCUUGCGCCUCUGACGUUAGCGGAAGACGGGAGUGUAACACGUGGAUCCUCUCCUUAUAUUUCGGGUAUCACUACGGAAAACCGGCGAAAAUACCGGAUGAUAUCUUGCACCGCAUGGUGCAUUGGAAAAAGACGGUUUUGCUGUCUCUACUCGCUGGUUCCGAGCCGCAUUAGGUGGUAGGUAAGGUAACGGCUUAUCAAGGCUACGAGGCGUGGCCGAACUGAGGGGCGGAUCGGCCACAUUGGAACUGAGACACGGACCAUACUCCUACGGGAGGCAGCAGUAGGCAACGUGACGCAACGGUCGAAAGCCUUACGGAGCAACGCCGCGUGAGUUAUGAAGGCCUUCGGUUCGUAAAGCCCUGUUAUUAGGGAAGAACAAAUGUGUAAGGAACUAUGCACGUCGUGACGGUACUGAAUCAGAAAGCCCCGGCUAACUACGUG
This 497-nucleotide ribosomal RNA is filed under the name uncultured bacterium. RNAcentral describes it as "partial 16S ribosomal RNA". It matches the Rfam family "Bacterial small subunit ribosomal RNA", at positions 28 to 507 of the family's 1533-position model. The record is from RNAcentral.